CAAUAGCGUAUAUUAAAGUUGUUGCGGUAAAAAAGCUCGUAGUUGGAUUUCUACCGAAGAUAGCCGGUCGGGUCUUCGACCUUGUAUCUGGUUUUGUCUUUGGUAUCCUCAUAGGGAACGUUUCUGCGCUUUAUUGCGUGGUGCGGUAUCUAUGACUUUUACUUUGAGGAAAUUAGAGUGUUCACGGCAGGCAAACGCCUUGAAUAUAUUAGCAUGGAAUAAUAACAUAGGAUCUUCGUCCUAUUUUGUUGGUUUCUAGGGCUAAGAUAAUGAUUAAUAGGGAUAAUUGGGGGCAACUGUAUCAACGCGUCAGAGGUGGAAUUCUUGGAUUGCGUUGCGACAAACUACUGCGAAAGCAUUUGCCAAGGAUGUUUUCAUUGA
This 381-nucleotide ribosomal RNA is filed under the name uncultured eukaryote. Its description in RNAcentral is "partial 18S ribosomal RNA". It matches the Rfam family "Eukaryotic small subunit ribosomal RNA", at positions 592 to 976 of the family's 1831-position model. The record is from RNAcentral.